GAAUAUUGGACAAUGGGCGCAAGCCUGAUCCAGCCAUGCCGCGUGAGUGAUGAAGGCCUUAGGGUUGUAAAGCUCUUUCAGUGGGGACGAUAAUGACGGUACCCACAGAAGAAGCCCCGGCUAACUUCGUGCCAGCAGCCGCGGUAAUACGAAGGGGGCUAGCGUUGUUCGGAUUUACUGGGCGUAAAGCGCACGUAGGCGGAUCGUUAAGUGAGGGGUGAAAUCCCAGGGCUCAACCCUGGAACUGCCUUUCAUACUGGCGACCUUGAGUCCGGAAGAGGUGAGUGGAAUUCCGAGUGUAGAGGUGAAAUUCGUAGAUAUUCGGAAGAACACCAGUGGCGAAGGCGACUCACUGGACAUGUAUUGACGCUGAGGUACGAAAGCGUGGGGAGCAAAC
RNAcentral lists this ribosomal RNA (397 nucleotides) under uncultured bacterium. Its description in RNAcentral is "bacterial SSU rRNA". It matches the Rfam family "Bacterial small subunit ribosomal RNA", at positions 359 to 773 of the family's 1533-position model. The record is from RNAcentral.